GUCGUAUCUUUGUUUCAUUUUUACAUUCACUAUUUUUUAUUUGUUUCUUCUAUAAAAAUUGCUCAAUCAAAGAAACAAAUCGUGAAAAAUUACAAUGAUAAACUAUUGGCUUGCGGAGGUCAAUCCAUUAAUUUAGUUAUUUCCUUUCAUUAUUUUCGGCCUAAUCACUCUUUCGGCUGCAAAUGAAAAAUGGACCUCCAAAGCAUGUUUGUCUCUCCUGCUAGGGAUCGCAGUUUGACCAGUUUGUCAAAAAGUGCUUCCCAACAGAAUAGACAGUUGGUCCCAUGAUCCAGUCCAUCCAUUUAUUCAUCCUUGUUCUAUUGGUGUAAGAGGAAGAAGAAAAAAAAUAU
Cimex lectularius (bed bug) is the source of this 350-nucleotide long non-coding RNA. RefSeq lists it as uncharacterized. The transcript is spliced from 3 exons. Lineage: Eukaryota; Metazoa; Arthropoda; Insecta; Hemiptera; Cimicidae. The record is from RefSeq and is a predicted model, not a curated record.